AAAUAUUCACACCAACGAAUUCCCACCCGAUGUCAUUAACUUGACUUAGCCGAUCCCACAUAAUGAAGAAAGAAUCACUGUUUAAGUUAGCCAAAGUCAUGAAGAUGAUUUGGAAUGGCAGAAUCGUGAAUCAUACUGUUAUGGUUAAUGUGAUAGAUAUAUAUGACUUCAAGCCUAAUUAAUGCGUGAACAGCUACUGAAGAUUGCAGUGCAGUUUUCUCCAUAGCGACCCGUUAACGAGGCAUCAAGGUAAGCAAAGAAGCCGCCUUGAUGUCUAUGGUGUAGCAGGUAGCUGAGUGGCACGCUGGACAGGGAGACGGCCAUGCUGGUUGUGCCUGGGGAAUCGAGAGCUAGUCGAUUCAUGCGACAGAGCGCUUGGAGUGUGCAAGCAUCGCCAGAGUCGUUUUCAUCAGCAUUCCAAAGUUCGUCUACCAUUGAAAUCCAUGUGGGAGCAUCCAUCAAUUCUGCACACACAAAAUUCCAAUAAGAAACACAACAACAACAAAAAAAAACAACAACAAAAAAACAACAAAAAAAAAAAAAACAACAACAAAAAUACUAAGUUGUUGCCAAAAAAUGAAAAACUGGUCGUUGAACUACGUCAGAUUCACUGAAACUUCUCUCCAUAUAAUUUACCUAACUGCCUCUACAGUAAUUGGCUCAAGACGAGCAAGCAUACAACGAGCAUUUAACCCUUCAGGACAGUGGUCCCACCCUUGUUUGAUUAGCUUGAAUGUUCCUAGGAUUUUCUGUUCUUUGAUUUAACUCUGGCUCUCCUACUUACCAUAUCUAUUCCUAUAAUAAGCAGCCUUUGGGAUCAGACUCACGCUCGCACGAAAAACGGGUAGAUCAGCCUAUGUUUUUCUACUACGAAUGCUAUUUACAUAGGGAAGUUUUGCCUCGUAAAAGUUUCGUGAAAAGUUUUCCAUUGACCAUGGUGAUUAACAACGUACCUUUGUCAGGCUGAAUAUCUUCAUCCACGAAGACAUCAUUAUCAUCAAGACGGUUUGGGUUUCCUCCUCCAUCCGUUCCCAUCGCGACUCUCCGCCGUCUUCGGGCCGCUACUGUCGUCGUUGCAAUAGCGAUCAAAUAUAGCAGCAAAAGUGACAAGGCUAACAACGCCAAUAUAGGCAAGAGGUCGUCCUUUUUGUCGCAACAACCAUAACUACUUCCACCGCCAUAACUACUCCCACCGCCAUAACUACUCCCACCGCCGUAACUACUCCCACCACCGUAACCAGAGGACGAAGAAUAGCCACCGCCGUAACCACUUCGAUCGGGUUGCAUCUCUUCUGGAUAUUUGUUGUACUGAUUGUACAUUGGAGGACGCCUGCCAGCACCUCGUUUUCUGCUUUCACCGAACAUUUCUCUGGCCAUCCGCCUAUUCAGUCUUGACGUGGAGGUCUCCAUAUUUUUCUUUUGGAAGAUACCCAUCAAAGGUGUGACAUAGAGCAGCAUCCGUUUCAAUUCAAGCUCCGAUUCAAGUUCAUCUUCCACUUCUUCGGCUGCGCUCUUGUCCGGUAAUUUAUUGUAGGAAAAAGACGACAUAUUGCGUUCAGUUGUGGCAGUCUGUCCGUCCAUCGAGGGGUCAGCUGCAUGACCGACAAUAAGAAUUAACAGUAGACUACAUGCAGUUUGUGUGCGAAGGAACUUGAUCAUUUUGUUUGCCUUCCGACUUAACUGUAAUAUGCAAACGUUUUAGAAGCAGGAAGGGAGACGGUCAGCCUGCAUUUGACGCUGGAUGAAAAUUAACUGACUGAAGCUGUGUGUCUGUGAAUGUUCUUCACUCCCAUAGAAGUAUAAUGUUAACGUUAGACUGGACAUCCUGCCGGAAGCUCCUCCUCUUGCUUGAACACGCUGCGACCCAGCAGGCAAAAGAUUCUUUAAAUCAAUUGUUUUUCUUCGCGUGUAACACAAAUCUAACGGUACAAGAUGUUGGUUUAAAUACAUUGUACACUUCUUUAGUUAAUCCGCAUAUGAACCCACGAAGAGAUGCUGAAUUUUUUUGUAACCAGCGCACCCUGCGGAUGCAUGCAUGCAAAAGAUAAAUUUGUGGAUUUCCUUGACUACAUUAACGAUUUAUUGGCCAUGACCUUGUGGAAGUACAUCGCCAUCGAUAUGUACCGUUAGUGACGUUAAGAAUAGUGCCACGAGAAAAUAUAGACAUCAUGAAUUGUAUCUUUACACAUAAAAUGACAGGAAUGUGCCAACUCUAGAUCACGGCAGAAUCAAUGAGACGUGACACAAGUGACAUUUAUUGUACGACAAUAAAUCACGGGAGAGCAGCACUUGUUGGCUUGUCAAUUGCUACAUGUAUCGCCUAGUUGGGCUAUGAAAAUUCGGAGUCAACAGAUCUUGAGCCUGAUGCUUAGGCAAAAUGUUGCUGCCUCUCACAUCCGUCCUGAAAAACAAAACGAGAA
Molecule: long non-coding RNA, 2420 nt
Organism: Daphnia magna
Lineage: Eukaryota; Metazoa; Arthropoda; Branchiopoda; Diplostraca; Daphniidae
Exons: 6
Source: RefSeq, a predicted model, not a curated record